UGACCCCAUGCCGAACUCAGAAGUGAAACGCCGUAGCGCCGAUGGUAGUGUGGGGUCUCCCCAUGCGAGAGUAGGGAACUGCCUGGCA
This 88-nucleotide ribosomal RNA is filed under the name Escherichia coli. Lineage: Bacteria; Pseudomonadati; Pseudomonadota; Gammaproteobacteria; Enterobacterales; Enterobacteriaceae. The record is from RNAcentral.